RNAcentral lists this long non-coding RNA (1044 nucleotides) under Setaria italica (foxtail millet). Its description in RNAcentral is "long non-coding RNA (SITA_LNC004775)". Lineage: Eukaryota; Viridiplantae; Streptophyta; Magnoliopsida; Poales; Poaceae. The record is from RNAcentral.
UUGCUUUGAGCUUUGCUAGUCUACCAUGCAUGCAUCACACUUCUACUUUGAACUUUGAAUCGUGACUCUGUCGUGUUCCUCUUGGUAAUGCGUAGGCAUUAGUAUGUGUGUUAAAGUAGGCUGCGUAUUUGAGACUGCUUAUUCUCUGUGCCCCGUUUCUUUGAGAGCGGCUUCUUCAAUUGCAGUAGUGCACAGCAGCUUGAAUGGUUUGAUCUGGCGAUGGCGGCUGCAUUGUCCAGUUGAACAGAGAAAGGGCCACGCCCUCAAUGGAAGCACUUCUGAUGCCUGAAAAAAAUGCCGCAAUGGUGGUAAAGAUGUUUCAGCAUUGCUGUGCAAGAACACAUCAUCCAAUUGGCCGUAACAAUAAGGAAACGUGUUUUUGGUUUUUCAUUCGAGUGGUGCUUAACAGUAAUAGUAGGAUUAACGAAACAACAGCAAAUCAGGUUAAACGUCAAAACAUCCUGUGUCCCUCCUACUCACAUGCAACUUUGAAUGGGCAUAUCAUGAAUGAAAUAUGACCAAUCUAGCCCUCAAUACAAUGUAACCCUGGAGACAUGCUGCAAACAUGAUACAUAACAGCAUAAACUGAAUAACAAUAUCUCAUUCAGUAUACCAUAAUAACAUGGUUUAGCAGUGUGACAUUUGACAUGCCUUGCAUAGGGGCUUCAUGAUGAUGUGGUCUUUGAAGGCACAGCCACUUAUCUGCCCAGACCAGACAAGAGUGUGUGUUGUAAGACAAGGAAGAACUAAAAUUCCACAUACUUUUUCAUCGCAGACGCAUGCAGUGAUUACGAACUGAAGGUCUAUACCAUUUCUUUCAAAAACUAAGAACAAAUGCGCAAUAUUUUUUAUUAGCUGAGAUUGAGAUAUAUCUUAUCAAUGUACCAAAAAACAUCAAACAAUAAAUAAGACCAUCAAAUCUUUGGAGAUAAACUCUAAUCACCAAAAGAAUAAUAUCUGGGAAUAAAGAAGGGCAUGUAUAUGUAUUAAUUUCUCAAGUCUAACAUGUACAAAUAGACAAAACCUUAAACAAUACUAAGUUUG